RNAcentral lists this ribosomal RNA (303 nucleotides) under uncultured Burkholderia sp. RNAcentral's name for it is "bacterial SSU rRNA". It matches the Rfam family "Bacterial small subunit ribosomal RNA", at positions 19 to 323 of the family's 1533-position model. Lineage: Bacteria; Pseudomonadati; Pseudomonadota; Betaproteobacteria; Burkholderiales; Burkholderiaceae. The record is from RNAcentral.
UUGGCUCAGAACGAACGCUGGCGGCAUGCCUUACACAUGCAAGUCGAACGGCAGCACGGGGGCAACCCUGGUGGCGAGUGGCGAACGGGUGAGUAAUACAUCGGAACGUGUCCUGUAGUGGGGGAUAGCCCGGCGAAAGCCGGAUUAAUACCGCAUACGAUCUACGGAAGAAAGCGGGGGAUCUUAGGACCUCGUGCUAUAGGGGCGGCCGAUGGCAGAUUAGCUAGUUGGUGGGGUAAAGGCCUACCAAGGCGACGAUCUGUAGCUGGUCUGAGAGGACGACCAGCCACAUCUGGGACUGAG